Molecule: transfer RNA, 76 nt
Filed under: Hyphomicrobiales bacterium
Lineage: Bacteria; Pseudomonadati; Pseudomonadota; Alphaproteobacteria; Hyphomicrobiales
Also listed under: 4 other names
Description: Rhizobiales bacterium (bioreactor metagenome) tRNA-Trp
Rfam family: tRNA
About the family: Transfer RNA (tRNA) molecules are approximately 80 nucleotides in length. Their secondary structure includes four short double-helical elements and three loops (D, anti-codon, and T loops).
Source: RNAcentral
AGGGGUAUAGCUCAGUUGGUAGAGCGGCGGUCUCCAAAACCGCAGGCCGGGGGUUCGAGUCCCUCUGCCCCUGCCA